Molecule: long non-coding RNA, 2869 nt
Filed under: Strigops habroptila (Kakapo)
Lineage: Eukaryota; Metazoa; Chordata; Aves; Psittaciformes; Psittacidae
Description: lncRNA (ENSSHBG00005016726.1)
Source: RNAcentral
GUGAAUGUAAAGUGGCAUUUUCUUUUUUAAAAACGCUGCUGUUUUAUUCUUUAUACAAACUAAAACACCAGAGGUCAUUGAAUCCUAUAGUAAAUACAUAAAUUAAAAAAUAACCAUUCAUAAAACUUUACAUACAAUAAGGAUUCUCUUCUACACGUUAAUACAUAUAGUACAGAUACAUGUCCAGUGUUUAUCAAAGGGUCAUUCCGCCAAGUCAUUUACAAUUCUGUUCUGGAACAGACACCAAAAGAGUUGUGAACAAAAAGUACAUAAAAAACCACCCGGGUGCUGAUGGGAGGGAAAGGAAAAACGCUUUGAAUCACCAGGAGCUGCGUGGCUGUUCCUGAGCCCUGCCCAAGGAGCAGGGGAGCCUGGUCUGCCCAGGAAGCUUCAGGGGGGCAAAGGGUGUUUCCUACCGAGAUGAGGGCAGGAAGCGGGAAAAUGAGGAACACCUACAAAAAAGUCUCCAUAGUUGUCCCAGCACAUCAGUAAGAGAGGAUGGAGCUGGGAGCCAGGCUGGUCACAGUGCAAGAAGCCUCCUGUGACCCCCAGUGCCUAAAUCCAUCUCACCUAACUGGGCCCUCAUCUGGAAUGCUUAGUUGAAAGAAGAGUGUUCAAAAUCUCCUGACUUGGUCAGCAGAGAAAAAGCAGCCACUCAGAUUUUGGCCAACCUGACUUGCACUACAUUACAUGGCUCAUCUGACAGCAUGGAUAGCCUGGAGUACUCAUGCCACAGGCCAGGACGGAUGGAUGGGGAGGAGGAAUCCAGGGCUCCAUUUGCUGUCCUCAAAAGCUGCAAUAAAUUGGUUUUUAUUUUGUUGGUUAGUUUGGGGAGGGUUGACUGCAGUGAGUGAUUUCAGGGAGGAUUCUCAGUACUUUGCCUCAGUGAAUGUCAGGAACAGCAGAAAGCCCUGGAUAAACAGCUUCAGGACAGACAAGGGGUGAGAUCCCAGAAAAACAGAUCCAAAACCUAGUUGCCCAUGAGCUGUAAAACUAAACCACAAGGAGUGCACCGGCUGUAGCAGCUAAACGAGUCUAGAUUCAGUUCCCCAUACCUAGAUUGGAAGUACACUUCCAUAAGCUAUAGCAACGAUUUACUAUAUACAAUAGGGAAUAGAUAAAUGCAUAUGUAUGUAUAUAUAUGUACAUAUACAUAUAUAUUGUAUAUAGAUACAUGUAUAUAUACACACAAAAACAUCAAACUCAUUUUGAUCUGGCUGAUAGCAGAAGAUUUGUAUUACUUGUAUCAGCAAGUGUGUUUUAGGCAUGGCUUAUGUUACGCUGCAAGCAGAGUAAAGCAGCUGCUCAGCUCUCUGGCGGGAAUACUCAAUCUUUUAUGAGUUUGCAGACCAAGGUAAGCUGUGGACUGAUACCACCCCCAGUCACCCGGAGCCCUUGGAAUGCAGCACCUGCAGGCGUACAUGUACGGAAGGGUAAAGGAGGGGAAAUUAGGCAAAAAGAGAUAAAUGAAGACGUGCACAGCACGGUUCAGAGGGCCUAACUGAUGAAGCCUACCGCAAGAUCAGUCCGUGUGUUCUGAAACAUGGGAUUUCUACCUGCCAUGACCCUUCCCUAUGACUGCCUGUAACCAACUUUUAUAAUCCUCCUUUUUUUUUUUUUUAACCAAGCAGAGGUGGAAGCUUUUGCUCUGUCACAGAAAACAGGCGCUGCUCAUUCUACAGGAAGAGCUCAAUGGUUCAAUUGCUGGCUCUAAUGCUGGGGCAAAGAACGUCCAGCCUGUUUCACCUCGCAGGACACUGCAGCCAAGUGGAAGAAUGGACUGCUACUGCAACAGGGGAAAAUAACAGUGAGAGGUGCUAGAGGGAAUAACCAGAGAAGAAACUCCCGUUUGUAGCUAAUAAGAUGUUGUGAAGUUGCUCAGUGAUCUAAAGGUGUCACUGGUGUGGAUGAGACUCCCAAAGGGGCUGACUCCAGAGCUUCAGGAUGAACCGCUAGCAGCACUCUUGGAAAGCACAUGUAGGUUUGGGACAACUUUAACCACAGAUUCUUCUGGGGGCAAGAGUUUGAACAAAGAGCAUGCAACAUCCUAUAUUCAUUUAACAUAUCUGCCUAAAAGCCUUGCUUAAAAAAGUGAACCAACAAACAUACAGCUGGUGCAGAAUUCAGUAACCCCCUUGGCUGAAACAGACUGUUUCAGGAAGAUGUGGUCAUUCUCUAAUUUAAAUUAAUUUUAAGGAGCAGGAAAAAUCACGUGCUAAAUAGCUUCUAAUGUUUGAUGGAAGGCUCAACACAAUCUCAGGGCAUGCAAGAAAUGAGGAUGGUAGGAGUCUUUGUGGAGAAAUGGAGCCCAGCAUUGCAAUUCAGUUGGGUGAAUGGACAUUAAUGAAUAAAAGCUAUUCUGGCCAAAAAAUAUCUGCAAGGAGCAGGCACCCUCGAUACUAGAGGAACUUCAUCCCUGCUGUGGCUGACGAACUGCUUCUGACCUGCUGAGUUGCUGUGGCAAGUUACUUCACUGCUUUGUGCCUCAGUUGCUUCAUCUGUAAAAAUAAGCAAGCAAACAAAGGAGAGACUCUUUAUAAAAGCACUUUUAAAGCUUCUGGUGUGUGCGUAAAGUGUUCGUACAAGUGAGGCCUGUUUUGAAGGUUUAAGUAAUGCACAGGCUGUAUUCUGGCCCUCAGUUUUCUAUUUUGUAAUACAGACAUCCAUUUCUCUCAGUGAAAAUUAAGGCUCCAUCGUGGAAGACAACUUAAAAAGGAGCCUUGCCACAGGAACCCAAAGUCUAAACAGGCACAACUCCAUUUCCAGGACAAUGGAAACAGUGGCAUAGAGAAGUGCCCUGUUCAGCCCGGCUCGUUCAGCACAGUGGUGCUCACGAGGCGCAGGACCUCACCAUGCCGGCUGCAUGCGU